AUACGGAGGAUGCGAGCGUUAUCCGGAUUUAUUGGGUUUAAAGGGAGCGUAGGUGGGAUAUUAAGUCAGCUGUGAAAGUUUGGGGCUCAACCUUAAAAUUGCAGUUGAUACUGGUUUCCUUGAGUACGGUACAGGUGGGCGGAAUUCGUGGUGUAGCGGUGAAAUGCUUAGAUAUCACGAAGAACUCCGAUCGCGAAGGCAGCUCACCGGGCCGGAACUGACACUGAUGCUCGAAAGUGCGGGUAUCAAACAGGAUUAGAUACCCUGGUAGUCCGCACAGUAAACGAUGAAUACUCGCUGUUUGCGAUACACUGUAAGCGGCCAAGCGAAAGCGUUAAGUAUUCCACCUGGGGAGUACGCCGGCAACGGUGAAACUCAAAUGAAUUGACGGGU
Molecule: ribosomal RNA, 393 nt
Filed under: uncultured bacterium
Lineage: Bacteria
Description: partial 16S ribosomal RNA
Rfam family: Bacterial small subunit ribosomal RNA
Source: RNAcentral